This 922-nucleotide ribosomal RNA is filed under the name uncultured organism. RNAcentral's name for it is "bacterial SSU rRNA". It matches the Rfam family "Bacterial small subunit ribosomal RNA", at positions 1 to 917 of the family's 1533-position model. The record is from RNAcentral.
UGGAUCCAGACUUUGAUUCUGGCUCAGGAUGAACGCUAGCGGCAGGCUUAACACAUGCAAGUCGAGGGGCAGCAUAAUGGAUAGCAAUAUCUAUGGUGGCGACCGGCGCACGGGUGCGUAACGCGUAUGCAACCUACCUUUAACAGGGGGAUAACACUGAGAAAUUGGUACUAAUACCCCAUAAUAUCAUAGAAGGCAUCUUUUAUGGUUGAAAAUUCCGAUGGUUAGAGAUGGGCAUGCGUUGUAUUAGCUAGUUGGUGGGGUAACGGCUCACCAAGGCGACGAUACAUAGGGGGACUGAGAGGUUAACCCCCCACACUGGUACUGAGACACGGACCAGACUCCUACGGGAGGCAGCAGUGAGGAAUAUUGGUCAAUGGACGCAAGUCUGAACCAGCCAUGCCGCGUGCAGGAUGACGGCUCUAUGAGUUGUAAACUGCUUUUGUACGAGGGUAAACGCAGAUACGUGUAUCUGUCUGAAAGUAUCGUACGAAUAAGGAUCGGCUAACUCCGUGCCAGCAGCCGCGGUAAUACGGAGGAUUCAAGCGUUAUCCGGAUUUAUUGGGUUUAAAGGGUGCGUAGGCGGUUUGAUAAGUUAGAGGUGAAAUUUCGGGGCUCAACCCUGAACGUGCCUCUAAUACUGUUGAGCUAGAGAGUAGUUGCGGUAGGCGGAAUGUAUGGUGUAGCGGUGAAAUGCUUAGAGAUUAUGCAGAACACCGAUUGCGAAGGCAGCUUACCAAACUAUAUCUGACGUUGAGGCACGAAAGCGUGGGGAGCAAACAGGAUUAGAUACCCUGGUAGUCCACGCAGUAAACGAUGAUAACUCGUUGUCGGCGAUACACAGUCGGUGACUAAGCGAAAGCGAUAAGUUAUCCACCUGGGGAGUACGUUCGCAAGAAUGCAACUCAAAGGAAUUGACGGA